RNAcentral lists this ribosomal RNA (432 nucleotides) under uncultured Eubacterium sp. RNAcentral describes it as "bacterial SSU rRNA". It matches the Rfam family "Bacterial small subunit ribosomal RNA", at positions 958 to 1393 of the family's 1533-position model. The record is from RNAcentral. Lineage: Bacteria; Bacillati; Bacillota; Clostridia; Eubacteriales; Eubacteriaceae.
AACGCGAAGAACCUUACCAAAUCUUGACAUCCCGAUGACAGACUGUGUAAAGCAGUUUCUCUUCGGAGCAUCGGUGACAGGUGGUGCAUGGUUGUCGUCAGCUCGUGUCGUGAGAUGUUCGGUUAAGUCCGCUAACGAGCGCAACCCUUGUCCUUAGUUGCUAACAUUAAGUUGAGAACCCUAAGGAGACUGCCGAUAAUAAAUCGGAGGAAGGUGGGGAUGAGGUCAAAUCAUCAUGCCCCUUACGUCUAGGGCUACAGGCGUGCUAUAAUGGCCAUUAUAAAGAGAAGCAAAACUGUGAGGUGGAGCAAAACUCCAAAGAUGGUCUCAGUUCGGAUUGAAGUCUGCAACUCGACUUCAUGAAGCUAGAAUCGCUAGUAAUCCUGAAUCAGAAUGUCAGGGUGAAUACGUUCCCGGGUCUUGUACACACGC